This 1192-nucleotide ribosomal RNA is filed under the name uncultured organism. RNAcentral's name for it is "bacterial SSU rRNA". It matches the Rfam family "Bacterial small subunit ribosomal RNA", at positions 199 to 1421 of the family's 1533-position model. The record is from RNAcentral.
GAGUAAAGAUUUCGGUCGCUUUGGGAGGAGCUCGCUUACUAUCAGCUUGUUGGUAGGGUAAUGGCCUACCAAGGCUAUGACGGUUAGGGGGUGUGAGAGCAUGACCCCCAGCAUUGGCACUGAAACACUGGCCAAACACCUACGGGUGGCUGCAGUCGAGAAUCUUCCACAAUGGGGGAAACCCUGAUGGAGCGAUGCUGCGUGCGGGAUGAAGGCCUUCGGGUUGUAAACCGCUUUUGUAGGGGACGAAAUUUUUGACGGUACCCUUUCGAAUAAGAGGUUGCUAACUCUGUGCCAGCAGCAGCGGUAAUACAGAGACCUCAAGCGUUAUCCGGAUUUACUGGGCGUAAAGCGUCUGUAGGGGGUUUAUUAAGUUCCAAGUAAAAUUUCAAGGCUCAACCUUGAAUUCGCUUGGAAAACUAAUAAACUGGAGUCUAGCAGAGGUGCAUGGAACUUGUGGUGUAGGAGUGAAAUCCGUUGAUAUCACAAGGAACACCAAAGGCGAAGGCAUUGCACUGGGCUAGCACUGACCCUGAGAGACGAAAGCGUGGGGAGCAAAACGGAUUAGAUACCCGUGUAGUCCACGCCCUAAACGAUGAAUGCUAAAUGUUCGGGGAUUCGACCCCCUGGGUGUUACAGCUAACGCGUUAAGCAUUCCGCCUGGGAAGUACGGCCGCAAGGCUAGAACUCAAAGGAAUAGACGGGGAUCCGCACAAGCGGUGGAGCGUCUGGUUUAAUUCGACAGUAAGCGUGGUACCUCACCAGGGUUUGACAUCCCUUGACAGCCUUGGAAACAAGGUUUCCUUCGGGCAAGGUGACAGGUGCUGCAUGGUCGUCGUCAGUUCGUGCCGUGAGGUGUUCCGUUAAGUCGGGAAACGAACGAAACCCCUAUUGCAUGUUACAAUUUCUCAUGCAAGACUGCCCGGAUAUACUGGGAGGAAGGUGGGGAUGACGUCAGAUCUGCAUGGUCCUUAUACCCUGGGCGACACAGGCGCUACAAUGGCAGAGACAAAGGGUUGCAAAACCGCAAGGUGAAGCUAAUCCCAAAAACUUUGUCUAAGUUCGGAUUGAAGGCUGCAAUUCGCCUUCAUGAGGCUGGAAUCGCUAGUAAUCGCGAAUCAGCCACGUCACGGUGAAUAUGUUCCCGGAUCUUGUACUCACCGCCCGUCACACCAAGAGAGUUGGUAGCUCC